This is a long non-coding RNA of Papio anubis (olive baboon), 4045 nucleotides long. The record is from Ensembl. Lineage: Eukaryota; Metazoa; Chordata; Mammalia; Primates; Cercopithecidae.
UUUAAAUGUAUAAAAUCUCUUUGUUGUUCUCUGAAUAUUCCUUUUCAUGUCUUCUCUUUCUCUGUCUUAAUUAAUCUCGUCUAAGACUUCUAUAUUGUUUAACCUUUUCAAACAGUCAUCUUGGUUUGUUAAUUUUCUCUCUUUCAUUUAUUACUUUCCUCAUGUGGCAGUUCAAGUUCAAACUUGAACACUUGUACAAAGACUCCUUGGAUGAUCUGCUUGUGAUAUUGGAGCAUUUCCUCCUUGCUGGCUGACACAAUGGCAAGCUUUGUCAGUGAAGAGUGCCGAAGAGACACUGCAAGAGGAAGGGGCUUCUCUCCCAGUUCCAGGUUUUGAUCUGUGGUUGGUUGAAUACAUGGAUGCAGAACCCACGGAUGGUGAGGACUGAUUGUACUCAGAAACUCGUCGUAUCCUCAUGUUGGCUCUUGGACCCAUUGGAUGGAGGCCAUCAUGGUUGGAAAGGCUAAAUGAAAAACCCUUGGAACUUCUCCUCCCUACCAAGGUGCCUCGGUGCAGAAGUUUGGGAAACCCUGGUUUCACAGUCGAUGGGAAGACACCAACGACUUUUCAGGCAGAGACAUUACGUGAGAAGGAAAGAAGGAUACCCCAAGAAGCAGGGAGGCCAGUAGAAAACACCUGCAAUAGCUCAGGAGGGGAGUUAGUACAUCUGAAACAGACUGGCAACAUUGGGAAGAAGAGGAAGGGAAGUACUUAAGAAUGAUUUAGGAGGUAGAAUGGCUUGGUUGAAGAAAUGAAGGAAAUUGGAGAUGAACAAGGACUCCCUGGCUUUAGGCUUGUGUAAUGGAAGAAUGUUGGUACCAUUCUUUGAGCCAGGAUUCAAGAGGAAGAGACUUUGAAUUGCAGGACGGGGGCCACAUGGGCCAAGUCUCCAACAAAGAGUCUGAGGCCUGAUUUGGAUCACUUCCUGAGUUCCUUUUAUUCACAUUAAUAAAGGAGAUAUAGGGAAACAUAUUGCUCUUAUUAUGAUAAUUACCAUGAAAAUUAAUGAUCACAUGAAAAAACUAUCUCUGAGUAAGCUACUUCUAGCAAUAUUUAUUUGUUCUGAAAGCACAGGGUCCUCGUCAUGUUUGCAAAACCUCUCUCUUCUGCUAUUGUGUUAACCUUCCUAUCCCUACCCAGGAAUGUCAUCCUUCAGAUAUGGCAUCUUGUGACUUUUAUCAAUCUCCAUGACCUUUACAUAAUGCACCAAGAAAACAAUGGAACAAGACAGGGGCAACAGAGAAGAGUUGUUGAGAUUAAUGAAGGGAUUUUGAGACCAUCUUAACAAGAGUCAGGAUUGCUGAAAAUGAGGACGUCAGGGAGUAUGGAAGACUCAGAAGAGGAAGACCUUUCAUUCCAAAGGGGGAAUAUGCCCUUCACUGCCUAAAGCCUCUGGCAUUAUCAGGAAGUGAGUAGACACAGGAUUUACUUCGUGAAUUUGUUUCUGGUGAGACUUCAUGGUGGAAGCGCACUGGACAGGGAGUCAGCAAUGCUGGCUCUGGCCAGUGCUCUGUGCCAACUGCAGGCUCCCUAGGUACUCCUGUGUUUUGGGCUUCAGGUUCCUUAUCUGUCACAUGAUUGGAUUCUUGAAGUUCCAGAGCCCAGAAGGUCUCUGCUUCUUCCUCGUCUCUGUGGUGAACCCAAUGCAAACAACAAAGAAAUGUACUGAUGACACGUGAAGCAUUACUGCUAUUCAAAUCAGCCACCUGUAAAUUAUUUCUCUGCUGUCAGAUCACAUAAGAGGAGUUACUAGACUCAGGCUCAGAGUAAAGGUGUUCUGAUGUCCAUCCGUCCAGAAUCUGAUCAGCUUCUCAUCACCCAGACAUCACCUGAGAACAAUGAGAAUCUCCAGGUGUCCUAUCACCGAUAGGCAGAUCCCUGUCUGCUCCUCAAAAUAGAGACUUGGGCAAUCGCUAUCAGUCCUUGCUGGCAUGGUGCCACUUUGAUUCCAAUUACCACCAUCGCCCCUCCCUGACAGUCAAGUCUGGGAUACAAGGAGUUGAAGAUCCUCAGUCCACCUAUGAAAGAAGGGAAAUCACACACACUCAGUCAGCAAAGGGUGGCUCUCAGAAAAAAAAAAAUAAUAGUUUAGGUGAAAUUUCCUCAUCCAGGGUAUCAGCUAUAUCCCAACAGGAGAGUUGGGACAAUUUUCUGAUGACUCAAGGCCCCGUGAAACACAUUCUUCAGCCUGGUAAUGAGUGACUUAUUACUAAAACCAGAAAAAUAUAUGCCAGGAUCAUCACAUGGUAGACAUUGUAAUACAACAUCCUCAGCAACAACCCUACAAUGGAUGUGGUGAUGAAGGCCGUAGAGAGUUUCCUCAAAAUACUCAUCAAGGUAAGUGGAUGGUAUCAUCCCAAGGUAUAAUACAAUUCCAAGCAAGAGUUUCAUAGCUGAUGUCACAAGAUGCUCCAGAGAGGAGGAGCUCUGCUGGUUUGUCUUGAUCCAAGUGUAACCUUGGAUUUCUGCUUUGCUUUCUGGUACUUGCCAGCACUGGAUUCAUCAUGAAAAGAAUCAAUCCUAAGAGUUUUUUUAAAAAGUUGAGGUGAACUCUCUUUGGCAACAGUACCAAUCCUGUGAGCUAGUUAGGAGUGCUUUUGGCCACAAGUAACAUGAAUCCUAUUAAAUAGUGGUUUUAUGAUUUAAAAACCUAAAUUGUUUGCAUAGCAAAAAAUUCUAAAGGCAGCUGCCUCAUACUUAAUUCAACAGCUGAAGUUUGUCAUUGAAAAUCUAGCCUCUUUCCAUCUUUCUACUCUGCCCUCUUGAGAAUAUUGGCUGUUUGUGUUUGUGUUUGUUGCCUCAUGGCUGCAAAAUGACUGCUGUGGUCAUUUUGUGUCAAGCAUCUCAGUCAUAUUCAAAAGCCUGUCGCCCCGAUCCAUUCAAAUUAGUAUGGAUCAGGGCAACAGGCGUUCUCCUCAAAAGUCUCUAUUAGGAAAGCCCUGCCUUUCCUAGAAUUCACCAUCGGAUAUCCCCUUCCAUCUCACUGGUUAGAGCUGGAACAUGGGCCACCCCUAUCUAAAAGGGGAGCUGUGAGAGGGCAAAGGAAAAUAUUAGGGCUUCUAGAUAGUCAAACAAUAGUCUCUGCCACAUCCAGGGAAGUGCCUUGAGGCGAAAGAAGCCUUCACCUUGCUUGAAGGAUGUUUCUUUUAUUUUCCAGGGCCACAAAGACCUUUACAGGAGGAGCAACAAAGUAUAGCUGCCUGAGACAAAAAUCUAUUCAAGCUUAAAAUGCAAGAGCAUUAGCUGCUCAGAGCCGUCACCAAGGAGAGAUAAAAUACGUCUGCUCUCUCAAGACCUGGGAGAUGCUAGCAGUGUGAUUGUUUUUUUGGCUGGGAAAGCUGCUUAGCCGACAGAAAAAGGAACGUACCUGAACAUUUAUGGGUUGGCUUUUCAAAGAGAGCAUCCCGUCUUCCUUUCACCCCUCCCUCCUCCCCUUCCCUGUAAAGGAACACUUAGCAAAAGUAAAUAAAUUAUCAGCCCUGGCCAUGCAGAAAUGCCUCUCACAGGGUAAUGCAGGGAUGUCUGAAGCCAUAAAGGGAAUUUUCAGAGCUGAAGUCAUCAACACGGAAGAGGCAAGCAGGGGAGAGGCUGGAAGGAAUGUGGAGAUUCCCUCUUCCCCUUGCUGGUCUGGGCUAUAAUGGAGAAGACCUGGGGCUCCUUAUGAGUGCUGACCCAAAAAAGUCUGGGCAGAAGGUGAUCAUCCCAGGCUGCUCAGGAUCGUGCAGUUAUUGAGCUCAAACAAAGCACUGUGGGGUAGAGAGCUGAGCACUGGGUUUGGAGCCAGGAACCCUGGCUCUCAGGCCCUCCUCUGCCAUCCUCUUGCUGGCUGAUCUCCAGUCAGUGAGCUAUUCUGAACUUUGUCUUAUCUGGGAAAUAGAAAUGAUAACAUUUAUGUUUGCAAUGGACUGAAUAGUGUCCCUCUCCACAAAUUCAGACAUUGAAACACUGACCCCUUGAGGAGCUGUAUUCAGAGAUGGGGCUUUCAGGAAGUAAUAACGGUUCAGUGAGGUGAGAAAGGUGGGGCCCCAUUCUGAUGGUACUGGAG